GAAGUGCGAUAAGCAAUGCGAAUUGCAGAAUUCCGCGAAUCAUCAGAUCUUUGAACGCAAAUGGCGCUGGAGGGAUAUCCUUCCAGCAUGUCUGUUUCAGUGUCUGAGAGGUUUCAUACUAAUCUUAAUGUGAUUGAAGGGUUGUUGGCUCACACCUCCUAACUCUUCUCUCAUGAAAGAUGCGUGAGUGGAUCUUUCGGUCCAAUGAAGUGGUCACAUCACUCGUAUGUGAUUUCAUUGGGAAUCACCGAAUUAUUCGUAUACUCACAGUAACUAAAACAAAAAAACUUCCAUACCCUGCAUCUGAGAUAGGCAAGAUCACCCGCUGAACUUAA
RNAcentral lists this unclassified non-coding RNA (335 nucleotides) under uncultured fungus. Its description in RNAcentral is "sequence contains ITS1". The stretch from base 1 to 105 matches the Rfam family "5.8S ribosomal RNA", at positions 50 to 154 of the family's 154-position model. The record is from RNAcentral. Lineage: Eukaryota; Fungi.